This is a long non-coding RNA of Dama dama (fallow deer), 281 nucleotides long. RefSeq lists it as uncharacterized. NCBI's taxonomy places the organism in Eukaryota, Metazoa, Chordata, Mammalia, Artiodactyla, Cervidae. The record is from RefSeq and is a predicted model, not a curated record. The transcript has 3 exons.
UCCAGUGUAUCCACAGGAAAGUCAAACCUGGAUGCUGAGUAGCUGGGAAGAGAAGAUGGAUUGGAAAUGAGUUGUGCUCCAAGCAAGAAGACAAGAGUUCCAAGAAGACAAGGAGACCUCUGAACUUUCUAAAUGAGGACUUCAAACUUUCUGGUCUGAAUAGGAAGCUGUUUGGGAAGAUUAUCUAUCAACCACCAACACAGAGGAACUGAACCCCAAGCUAAGAGUUAAAAGGCACCCAGACGUAUUGUGUUCUCUGAAUCUUAGCUUUACAGAAAAAG